RNAcentral lists this ribosomal RNA (461 nucleotides) under uncultured bacterium. RNAcentral's name for it is "bacterial SSU rRNA". It matches the Rfam family "Bacterial small subunit ribosomal RNA", at positions 34 to 507 of the family's 1533-position model. The record is from RNAcentral.
CGCUAGCGGCGGGCUUAAUACAUGCAAGUUUAGGGGUUCAGCAAUGGACACCGGCGGACGGGUGCGUAACAUGUAUGCAACCUGCCCUUUACUGGAGGAUACUCCGGAGAAAUUCGGCACAACACUCCAUAUACUCAUACUUUCGCAUGGGAGAAUGAGGAAAGGUUACGGUAAAGGAUGGGCAUGCGUCUGAUUAGCUAGUUGGCGAGGUAACGGCUCACCAAGGCGACGAUCAGUAGCUGGUCUGAGAGGAUGAUCAGCCACACUGGCACUGAGAUACGGGCCAGACUCCUACGGGAGGCAGCAGUAGGGAAUAUUGGUCAAUGGGCGAAAGCCUGAACCAGCCACGCCGCGUGCAGGAAGAAGGUCCUCUGGAUUGUAAACUGCUUUUGCCAAGGGAUAAAGAGAGGCUAUACGCCUAAAUGAAGGUACUUGGUGAAUAAGCCACGGCUAACUACGUG